AUUGAACGCUGGCGGCAUGCCUUACACAUGCAAGUCGAACGGCAGCGGACCUUCGGGUGCCGGCGAGUGGCGAACGGGUGAGUAAUAUAUCGGAACGUACCUUUCAGUGGGGGAUAACGUAGCGAAAGUUACGCUAAUACCGCAUAUUCUGUGAGCAGGAAAGCAGGGGAUCGCAAGACCUUGCGCUGAUUGAGCGGCCGAUAUCAGAUUAGCUAGUUGGUGAGGUAAAGGCUCACCAAGGCGACGAUCUGUAGCGGGUCUGAGAGGAUGAUCCGCCACACUGGAACUGAGACACGGUCCAGAUUCCUACGGGAGGCAGCAGUGGGAAUUUUGGACAAUGGGCGCAAGCCUGAUCCAGCCAUGCCGCGUGAGUGAAGAAGGCCUCGGU
Molecule: ribosomal RNA, 388 nt
Filed under: uncultured bacterium
Lineage: Bacteria
Description: bacterial SSU rRNA
Rfam family: Bacterial small subunit ribosomal RNA
Source: RNAcentral